CCCUUAGAUGUUCUGGGCUGCACGCGUGCUACAAUGAAGCGUCCAACAAGAUGCGAAGCCGAAAGGCUCAGCGGAUCUUUGAAGUCGUUUCGUGACCGGGACAGUUGAUUGCAAUUAUUCGACUCGAACGAGGAAUUCCUUGUAAUCGCGAUUCAUCACAUCGCGCUGAAUACGUCCCUGCCCUUUGUACACACCGCCCGUCGCUCCUACCGAUUGAGCGAUCCGGUGAAUUAUUUGGAGUGUCCACGCAAGCCAAUCCGUUUACGUGGGUGCGAAAUUUUGUAAACCUUAUCGCUUAGAGGAAGGAAAAGUCGUAACA
This 319-nucleotide ribosomal RNA is filed under the name uncultured eukaryote. Its description in RNAcentral is "partial 18S ribosomal RNA". It matches the Rfam family "Eukaryotic small subunit ribosomal RNA", at positions 1470 to 1796 of the family's 1831-position model. The record is from RNAcentral.